GGCAGUGAUAGCUCAGUGGUUAAGGCAUUGGAGUUCUGCUUGAAAGAUCAUGAGUUCAAAUCCCAGCACCACCA
Ameiurus melas (black bullhead) is the source of this 74-nucleotide non-coding RNA. NCBI's taxonomy places the organism in Eukaryota, Metazoa, Chordata, Actinopteri, Siluriformes, Ictaluridae. The record is from the annotation of a GenBank genome assembly.